Molecule: ribosomal RNA, 889 nt
Filed under: uncultured Lentisphaerota bacterium
Lineage: Bacteria; Pseudomonadati; Lentisphaerota
Description: bacterial SSU rRNA
Rfam family: Bacterial small subunit ribosomal RNA
Source: RNAcentral
AGAGUUUGAUCCUGGCUCAGAUUGAACGCUGGCGGCAUGGCUAAAACAUGCAAGUCGAACGCGAAAGCCUUCGGGUGAGUAGAGUGGCGAAAGGGCGAGUAACGCGUAUCUAACGUGCCCCGAGGUGGGGGAUAGCGUCGGGAAACCGGCGGUAACACCCCAUAGUCCCACCGGACCGCAUGGCCCGGCGGGUAAAGGUUACGCCUCGGGAUCGGGAUACGUCCUAUCAGCUUGUUGGUGAGGUAAUGGCUCACCAAGGCCGAGACGGGUAGCUGGUGUGAGAGCACGACCAGCCGCAUCGGGACUGAGACACUGCCCGGACUCCUACGGGAGGCUGCAGUAACGAAUAUUCCGCAAUGCGCGAAAGCGUGACGGAGCAAUGCCGCGUGAAGGAUGAAGCCCCUCGGGGUGUAAACUUCUGUCAGGGGCUACCAAGUUCUGAGGAACCCCAAAGGAAGGGCCGGCUAACUUCGUGCCAGCAGCCGCGGUAAUACGAAGGGCCCGAGCGUUAAUCGGAAUCACUGGGCUUAAAGGGUGCGCAGGCGGGCCCGCAAGUAUCUUGUGAAAUCCCACCGCUCAACGGUGGAAUCGCUCGGUAGACUGCGGGCCUUGAGCCCGGCAGAGGUCGUCGGAACGAUAGGUGGAGCGGUGAAAUGCGUAGAUAUCUAUCGGAACGCCAAAGACGAAGGUAGGCGACUGGGCCGGUGCUGACGCUCAGGCACGAAAGCGUGGGUAGCGAACGGGAUUAGAUACCCCGGUAGUCCACGCCCUAAACGUUGUGUACUAGAUCGGGGAGGUUUUGACGCCAUCCCGGUCGAAGCUAAAGCGUUAAGUACACCGCCUGGGGAGUACGGUCGCAAGAUUAAAACUCAAAGGAAUUGACGGGGGC